UAGUUUAGGAUGGCCUCGGAUUAUACUA
RNAcentral lists this non-coding RNA (28 nucleotides) under Rattus norvegicus (Norway rat). Lineage: Eukaryota; Metazoa; Chordata; Mammalia; Rodentia; Muridae. The record is from RNAcentral.